AGAGUUUGAUCCUGGCUCAGGACGAACGCUGGCGGCGUGCUUAACACAUGCAAGUCGAACGAAGAGCGAUGGAAGCUUGCUUCUAUCAAUCUUAGUGGCGAACGGGUGAGUAACGCGUAAUCAACCUGCCCUUCAGAGGGAGACAACAGUUGGAAACGACUGCUAAUACCGCAUACGAUUCAAUCUCGGCAUCGUGACUGGAUGAAAGGUGGCCUCUAUUUAUAAGCUAUCACUGAAGGAGGGGAUUGCGUCUGAUUAGCUAGUUGGAGGGGUAACGGCCCACCAAGGCGAUGAUCAGUAGCCGGUCUGAGAGGAUGAACGGCCACAUUGGGACUGAGACACGGCCCAGACUCCUACGGGAGGCAGCAGUGGGGAAUCUUCCGCAAUGGACGAAAGUCUGGCGGAGCAACGCCGCGUGAGUGAUGACGGCCUUCGGGUUGUAAAGCUCUGUUAAUCGGGACGAAUGGUUCUUGUGCGAAUAGUGCGAGGAUUUGACGGUACCGGAAUAGAAAGCCACGGCUAACUACGUGCCAGCAGCCGCGGUAAUACGUAGGUGGCAAGCGUUGUCCGGAAUUAUUGGGCGUAAAGCGCGC
Molecule: ribosomal RNA, 593 nt
Filed under: uncultured Veillonella sp.
Lineage: Bacteria; Bacillati; Bacillota; Negativicutes; Veillonellales; Veillonellaceae
Description: bacterial SSU rRNA
Rfam family: Bacterial small subunit ribosomal RNA
Source: RNAcentral